GUCUACAGCCACGCCACCCUGAACAAGCCCAAUCCUGUCUGACCUCGGAAGCUUAAGCAGGGUCAGGCCUGGUUAGGACUUGGAUGAGAGACUACCUAAGAAAACCAGGUGCUGUAGGCA
Molecule: ribosomal RNA, 120 nt
Filed under: Pteropus alecto (black flying fox)
Lineage: Eukaryota; Metazoa; Chordata; Mammalia; Chiroptera; Pteropodidae
Source: RNAcentral